UAAGCCACGUGCUCCAGCAAUAGCCUCUGUCAAGGAGACUCACAGGUUUGUUGGGGGCAUGUUCUUACAUGUUACAAAAUGGGGCAUUUAACUUUAAGUGUCCCCCAUGUUUAGUUAAAUUUUAAAAUUAUUACCUUCAUCUUCUGUAUUUCAGAAUUAUUUACAGGCAAAAGACAAAUAUUAGUGUUGACUACAUAGUUUCUACUUACUAAAAAAUUAAUUUAUAUGAACUAUUUAGCUGAUAUUGUACCUGGGACCACAGCAAUAUCCAUUCUGGCACAUACUCCAAGCCUCUUAUUUGGCCAGGUCAUCUGCCUUUCUGGGAACACACUCCGGCCUCUUCCACCUGCUGUUUGUCCCAGGUCACAACAGGAGAAGGGACAUUCAGGCAGUACAGACUCAUCUUCUGCACAGUAACUGUGGUUGUCAUCACACCUGUGCUGCAUUUUCAGAGACACUGUGUGCUGGAGCCACUGGAAAGUGUCUGGAGCUGACCAUGGCUGGAGAUGGGGUAAGGAAGCCAGCUGGGCCAGCUGAGACCUUAUAUACUUGACAAAAGCCAAUCCCAGUCACAUGCCUGUAGUUAGGGAAGAAUCAGCUUUUAGAGACCUGGACUGCAGAGGUGUUUGGUUACAUCAGAACUAAAAAAAUGCCCUUAGUAAGAGUCCCAGCUUUACUCUGGAAGGAGCUGAGAGCAGGGAAGAUGCAAGGAGCAGCCUCACACUUGGCAAUGGAGCAAAUGAAGAGUUUGGAUCUAAAAGCCUCCAGGCUCCAGGGAAGUUCAGGUCCAAAUCUGCACUUUCCAUCUUUACACUUCACCCUUGUUUGUGGUAUCUCAUUUCACUUGGCACUGCUGUGGUGUUUUUCAAGAAGCAGACACAGAAGCCUAUUGGUUUUGGUUCUAACAUUCUGGGAACAGGUUCAGAAAACUGGAAUUUGACUGAGCCUCAUGUCCAAGCUUCACCAAACACUUCAAGCACCAUUGUUAGCAUUUUAUUCUUAAAAUUUCACCCCGUUCUUAACUUAAAGCCCUGGAUCCAAACCUUACCCCUAAACCCACUGCUAAUCACAAUGCACUCUCUUUGAGGUGCCUCUCCCCUGAAGAAACAUCCACUCUGACCCAUUUCCAGAAAUGGUGCCAGCUGAUUGUUACAAACCCAAGGCAGAAUCAGCCUCAUCUGGCUACAGUUCUUGUUAAAGCAUUUCUCAAAGCCUGUGUGGGACUCAGGGGGACUUUGAGGCCACCACAGCUGCUCCUGGCCAGCAGCAGGACACUGGCCCCGAACUGCCCCACAUCCCACCCAGCCCUUCCUCAUACACCUCAAGUAAGGCUCCAGUUCUGCAAAAUCCCAAUCAUUUAAGAGCAUUUCUAGACUUCCAGCACAUGCAUGUUUCCUCUUAUUUCAUCAAAGACUUGAAUUUCCUUCUGGUGACACAAUUUGUCAACACAUGCAGCUCAUAACAGAGAAAAGGUUGAUCAAAGAAUAGCAGGUAACUCUUAUUUACUGCACGAUAGCAAGCUAAAUUGCUGCUAUAGCUUUGUAUUAGUAGCACAUUUAGUGCUUUUAUCAGCAGUUCAGCUGCACCACAUGCUUCCACUUCAGAUAGACAAUUUAAUAACCAGAGAAGAGGGCUUUCCUCCCCCCCAAAGCUCAAUGCCAAUGUUAGGAUGCAGCAAACUGUUGCUUACAGCCAGUGAUUAAAUACUGGAUUUGCACCCAAUGCAGGAAGAUGGGGAGCAAUGUGUGCAGGGCUGGGGGAGCUUGUGGUGGGCUCCUCUACUUGUUAAGGCAGCAGAAAUGGUUGAAAAUAUCAAAGGAAGCAGUAGAAGGCAUAGGCUGUUGAAAUUCAGAUUCACAUUUCAAUUUGGGAUAAACCCUCUGUUAUUUGGAUUCAUCAGUUCAAUUAUGCACCAGAAUAAAACUGUAUCAUUGCAGUAUCAUAUGGCCUCCUUUAAGAAAACAUCAGACAUGAAAAGGUUGCUCCACAGACAUCACUAAUUCCAUUUGGCUUUCUGGGUUUCAGCCUUGGUUUGGGUGCCAGUGGGUCAGACUGAUAACCUGGACAUGCAGUGCCUAUGCUUUUAACCACAUCAUUUAUGAUUGCAUUCCAUUUUUUCUAGAGAAUUCAUAAUUGCCUCAGGAGUACAGAGCUCAGGGGCCACAUGGUGGCCCCAUGUCAGCUGGAGCCUGAACACCCUACAUCCCUCUUGAACAACCAUUGCUCUCCCACACCCAACAAAGCUGCAUGUCACACCCCACACUGCACUAGCAAACCUCAUCUGUCCACCUCCCAAAGGUAGAUAUUUCAUUUAUCAGUGAGAAGGCAGCCCUGGACAACACCAUAUCCCCAGCACAACCUCCCAGUCCUCGGAAACAGUCCCGUUUUACUGGAUUCUUCAGUCCCCACCAGGAGUUAUCUUACCAAACUUAAUUUAAAACAGAAUCAACGUUUAAAGUCUUUACAGGGACAGGGAGGCAGGAUCCAGCCUGGGAGCACACCCAGCAGAGCCCUCGGUACCUGAGCAAGGUGAGCAGAGCAGACCCAGGGGUCACGGCCAGGUUCAGCCAAGAGCCCACACAUCAGGCAGGUUCAUGGCCAAGAGGCAGGUCUGAGGAGAAGCCACAGAGUCAGCCCACGGGUCAAGGUGAGAUCCAACGAGGGUAACCCAGGUCAGACACCAUCCAGCAGCUCCCAGGCAGGUCCCUCACAGCAUCAGGGCUGUUCCUAAGGCAGAAAGUCCACAGAUCUGAGUGCAUUUGAGGGACCCACGGCCCACAAAGGCUGUGGCUGAGCUGCAGACCAGCACCUCUGAAACCCAGCUCAGGGAAGGACUGAGGGACCUGACUGAGCUUAAAUGGGCUCCUGGGCAGAGGCUGUGGGUGAGUCCCCAGCUGAGGCUGCUUGGGGCCCAGGUGGGACCUGGGUUUGUUGCUGGAGCCCGUUAGUGCCCGGGCCUGACAGCAGAGCCUGAUGCAGUCAAAAACCUCACUUUCCUUCACAGUCAAGUCCAUCUGGACAGCACCUCUACCUGUAUCCACACCACACUUCACCCAAUCCAGCCUGGUCAGGAUUAGCAAUGUGUGUCAAACUCUGCUUCCAGUUUGCUAUAUGAACUGCAAAUAAUGGCCAACAGUUCAGGGAUCUGUGAGGGAAACACACCGUGAGGUGAGGCCCCCUUAUGGCUACAUCAAAGGCAAGGCUGCUUCCUUCAAAGGCAGGCAGAAGACUUUUUCUGGAGAAAUCCACGCCCCAACUCCUAAGCAUAUGUGAAAAGGAGGGUUUCUCAGCUUGUGACUUAAGUGACUUGAAACAAAUCAGAUGUUGAACCAUAUGGGUUUGGGGCUUUUUGAGACUGUAAACCUUUUUUAUUACAGGUAAAGCUAAGGAUGGCACGGCUGCAUGCUCCAGAGCUGUGGGGCCAGGAGGUCUGAAGGUAGACAGAAGGUGUAAGAAUAUAUAGGGAGGUAAAACUGCAAAAGGUGAUUGAUGAUGUGUUGCUGAGUCUGGCCUGACAGCAGCUUCAUGGACAUCACAUCAGGGCUGAAGGGCAAAUGUGCCCCACAGAGAGGCACGCUGCGGGCUGACCAGCAGAUUGGGGGCAAUACCUGAACUCUACAGAAGACAACAAACUGAUCUUGCUCUUGGCUUUCAUGCAGCUGAGCAGCCCAGGCAGGUUAGAGGUCUCAGACCACACAUUAUACCAGGUACAAGUGCCCAUUAGUCACUCUGUACAACUCCAGAGGGCUGUAUUUUGACUUGUUAGCUGUGUCUUGGUCAUUUAUCUCUCUGCUUACCUCUGAUUUUUUCUACUCUGCCCGUCUUUGCUUCCCCCACACUAUUGCAUCAAGCCUCUUUAAAAAACAAGAUGAUUGUUCAGUCUCCACAGUCCCACCCAUCUUCCAUUCCACAUUUCCAGUGGUCCCCGUUAGGCAGGUUUGUAACAGAACAGAGAACUGCAGACUCCCCCAAAAAAGAAAAACCUGCACCUACAUCAUGCCCAAAUACAUAGUAUAUUUUGUUCAAAUUAUCACACUUAAGGAGCAACAGAGGCAAAUAAAGAUGAUCUCCAAGUUGCAGUCUUCUGCUGCACUUGGCAUUAAUUAUUUUUGUUGCCUUUCCAGUGGAGAUCUGCCUGUUAAUCCCCACCAGCUCUACAAGCCUCCCUGAAUUACAGUGAGUGUUUCCAUUCUGUGUCACACUCUAACUACCACUCCAGGACGUUCAACAAAGAAAUUAAACAUAAGAAAGGCUGCACUGUAAAUAUUUGAAGAAGUACAAGGUGCAAGUAUAGUUAAUGGCAUACUUUGGUAAUAGAUCAUCCUAUAGUCUACAUUAUGUCAGUAACAGAAUAAUGUUUCAUAACUGAGACAAAUAAACCUGACCCUUUUAAAAAAAGGGCCAUAUAUUGCAAACUGACUAUGUUUAAAACCCAGUACCUGAAUAUGCCAAAAUUUGGAUAAUUGUUUGCAGCAGAGAGAGAAGAUAUGAAUGUGGCUCCAUAUGCAGGGUUUUAUCCUGAAUGCAUUAUCCCCUGCAAUUAAUAUUAUGUUACCAGCCUGGCAAAGGCAUUAACUCCUUUUUAACAUCCUGACCUAUCCACAUUGGCCUGUUACUCUUUAAAACUAAAUUAGAGUACUCUGCCAUGAUUUGUUCUUGACAAAUCUGUAUUGGUUGUUGCUUAUCUUCUUAUUUUCCAGGUAUGUGAUUAUUUGCUUCACCAUUUUUCUGGAAUUUGAGGGUAAGCUGUACAAUUGCUGUACAAUUCUCCUGUUCCUUUUCCUCUCACCUCUCCCACCUUUUAAAGAUAAGCAACACAUCAGUAUUCUGGUAUCACCCCAGUCUGUCCAUGAAUUCAGAGAUACCAUUAAUAGUUCUGAGAUUACUAAAUCCAGUUCUUCAAGUACUGCAGGAUUAAGUCAGCCCCAGCCAAUUAAAAACCCGCUAAGUUAUCUAAGUAUUCUUUAACCUGGUUUUCCCUUAUUCUAUGCUGAAAUACUUCUUUUUGUUAGUAUUAAUAGUGGUAAACAUUUCUUCACCAUUUACUUUUUACUGAAGACUGGUGAAAACAGGCAGUAAAUCUCAUUUUCAUUCAUCAGGGGCUUUUCCUCUCUACAAAGUAAUGGGCAAAUCUUUCAUUUGCUCUUCCUCACAUUAUUAAUGGGCUUAAGAAUUAUUUCUUCUUGUCCCUGAUGUCUCUUGCUAGCUGCAUUUGGUUUUCUACCUUUCCAUUGUGACUCUUCCCUCUACAUAUUUGAGCUAAUCCUUCAUGAUAAUCUUCAGUGAUCUUACAAAUUACAGUUCUUUCCUCUGAUGUCAAUAAAGAAUUUAUGAUUUAGUAAAUCCACUGCAUUUCCUAUACUCUCUCUGCACUGGGAUAGAGCAUGUCUGCCUUUUCUCUCCAAUGAACACCUGUCAGUUCUCUGAAUUGACAGAAGUCAGGCAUUUUGAAGGCAAAUCUCCCCAUCCAAGGAUGAUGAAUGCUAUUGUCUCACUGGCAGUGCCACCAAACUGUCUUCUGCCUUCAUAUUGCUAGCUCCUGAAAGCGUAAGAUCUCCAAGAGCCUCCCCCUAAUCCUUUUGCUCAUCUUCCAUAUCCAAAAAUGGUCUAAAAGUCUUGGAGAAGGCUCUUUGAAGAGUUGUGGUAUCCUCAACCUCCUCAGCCUCAACAGCCUCAACCUCCUCUGACCAUUCCUUUGGUCUUGGGAUGAUUCCACUAUCACUGACAAAAGGCAUCCACCAUCCAGCCAUCCUGACUCAGUACCAACUGCAUUUAAUGGGUGAACAGCCCUUUUUCCUUGUCAUUUCACUUCAUUACCAAUAACCCUUUUCUCCCCAGUUUUUCAGCCCUUCUCCAGGUUGCUGUGACUCAUCUAUACUGUAGAGUCCUUGACUAAUUUAUGUUUUUCUUCCCUGAUGCUGGCAAGUCUAAGCCUAAAGUUUUGGGGGCAGUUGUUUUUGGGGUUUGGGGAUUUUCGGUUUGGUUUGGUUGUUGUUUUUUUGGGUUGGCUUGGUUUAUAAUAGAAAACAGUCAUGGGACAGUCUUGGCCGUGGGAGUUGAAGCUCUCUUGGCAAUAUCCCCCGAACAUCUGUGGGGGGUUAUGGCCAUGCUGUGGGGCUUACAGAGCUGGGCAGAAGUGGCCAGGCAGCACUUGGCAUUGCUCUGUAGCUGUGGCUGCUACAACAGCCUGUGGUCCAAGAGAAGAGUUUCCAGACUGUGCUGUCCUGCCUGACUGGCUAAGACUGGUAUAAAGUGUUCAUUUUGCCAGAGUUCAGUCUGAAUUUGCAGCUCCCUGGCUAUUCAUCACUUUUUCCAAGGGUCAUGAAGAAGAUAUCAUUGAGCUGGCACUGCUGAUCCUAGGACGCAUCAGGGAUUUCAUUAUACCAGGAACUCAGCUAUAAGUCUGCUUUACACAUCUGGAGCAAUGGAAGUAGCUUUAAUUGAGGCUAUAAACCAGCUCAUGAUGACACUUUCUGCCAGUUCUCUGUAUCACAGAGGAUACCCAUGCACUGAAAAGUCUUAAAUCAUUUCUGAGCUAGAGCUUAAAAUCAAUCUAUUUAAAUAUGUUGCUUAAGAGUAAAAGGUUCAUUGAAAACUGCCUUCUGCUUCCCGGAGUAGAGACUCAAUGGUAUGUAUAGAUUUAUCCUCCACAAAGUUUCUUCCCAUAGGGUUUAUUUGAGAAGCUUCUGUACCCAAGUUGAGAGUGGCCAGUUCCCCCUGCUGCAUAAUUUUCUAGAGGCUUAAGUCAGCAGCAGGUUUCAGUCAGGCUAAAGAUCAAAGGCUUUGAUCUCCAUUCAUCUCAACUUAACUAAAAGGAAGCCACAUCUGGAGAAUUUAUCUAAUUCUGCAAGCUAUAAAUAUGUAUGGUUUUGGUACUAUGUAAUUAAUCAAAAGCCUGAAACAGAAUACAUGUGCUAACCUGCAAAGAUGUUGGAUUGCAAACUGCAGGAACUGAUGAAAUACCUUCUGAUGCAUAUUUCUGUGUCUAAGUAAACCACUCCUUUAGCACUUUAUCUUUGUGGAAAGUGAACUCAGUACUGAGGACACAAGCCUUUCAGAGUCCUUAGGAAUUAAGGUUUUCCACAGGAAAACAACCCAGAGCCCUUCCUUGCAGGAUUUUGACUCAGUCCACUCUGAAGACCAGGGCCUCAGUAUAAAACUUGGGUCUAGGUCUAGGUUUGAGUCUCGAAUUUUUCAUUCUCAAAAUUUGGAUUAGCUUAGGUGUCUGGAUCCCAUCUCUGAUUUUUCCCAUUUACUCCAAAUCAGCCAUAAACAGCAGCAAGUUUAAUCUAAUCAGGCAGCACUUUUAGAAGUUGCAAUCAGGCUCCAGUGGUGACUGCCUGCUUUAGCCUCCUAAAUACAACUGAUUUGUGCACAGAAAUGCUGAGACAAUCAGAACUCCUGAUUAGCUGAAUAUGCCACUUGUGUGGUUAGUUUUAAGCUUGUGUACUUUUGCUGCAGGUUCUUCAAGAGCACGGAGCUGCUUUAUGUGAAAACUGUACCUAAAAGCCAGUGGUGUCUCUCCAGCUGUGGGAUGGCAGGAGCACGUGCUCGCACGUUCCCAGCCAAAGUCUGUGCUGGGAAAGGGCUGGGUUGGCAGUUAUGUCGCCUGGUUGGGAACCAGUCCCAAAAAUUCUGAAGACAGAUUGGGAAAAUGAGUAAUGAGGAUAGCCAGAAAGAUCCUCCCAAAACAAACAAGCAAACAAACAAGUGUGGUGCUCUCCCCCUGCCUGUGCUGCUGGCUCUGCCUUCUGGCUCUUGUGGGGCACCAUGGCCAAUGAAUCUCCCCUAUGUCCUUCACCAGCCAGACCCAAGGUCCAGCUGCAAAAAAACUAAAGGUUCCAAAAAGACUUUUCUUUGUGGUCAUCACUGCUGAUGGACUAAUUUCUCUCUUUUAAAACUCCUUUUCUACAAUUGUGGGGGGGAAAUAACUGUAAUGAAAGGCAAAUACCAAGGAGCAGACCAGGACAGCUCUCAGUUUCCAAGCAACACAGACAUUCUGAUCAUGACUAUUAUGAUUUCACCUUUUAAAGAAUCACCCGUCUAUGGCUAAUUUUACAUAAUGGGCUUUAUUAAUAUUAAUUAAAUCUCACAACUUAUAUGUGAUGUAGCUAAGAUACACAGUUUUGAGACAAAAACCAGGUAAGUUACAGGGUCACGAAAGGCACGAGGAUCAUAAUGAAGUCAGAAGUUCUCCUCCCUCCUCAGGACCAAACCUAACCCCUCCCCAGCACCCAGGAUGGCUGCUGCUGCUCCUGUUUUCCCAAGGAACACUUAGGGCUCUGUAGCCUCUCACAGCAUCCAUCACCCAGGACUGAUAACCACCUGAAGCUGAGCAGUGUCUCCGAACCAAAGGAAACAGAGGCAACAGUAUCAGGCCAUAAAUCCAGCGCGAAGAAUCACAACUGGUAGAUACUUUUAAGCGGCUCCAUGUUUUCUAGAGCAAUUCCAGAGCAAGAUUGACUGGAUUAAUUGACAAAGCAAACCACUUUUCCUCCUCACUUCAGAGAACGCUUUGAGAAAAGUUUGUUUCACUCUUCUUGUCCCUGUGAAAUACUUACAACAGGCUGUGACCAGAUCCCUUCCCUUUGGUGCACACCCAAAGUUAGGGAGUGUUUCUCAAGAGGGAAAAAAAUUAAGGACUUAGAAUCAUGCUUACUCAUUAGAAGAGCUCUUGGGAAAGUGUCUCCUUGCUUUUCCACAUUUAAAGCAGGACACUUGUAGAUCUCUAAUUGGCAUUCUGUUGACUCGUUAUUUUUCUGGUCUGUUCACACCCAUCACUGGGUAGUGGCAACUUGAUUACUGAUGGUUUGCACCACAAGAAAAUAAAUGUAAUGCUUUUAAAUGGUGUGCUUACAUGGAGUCUGUCCAUACCACUUUUUUCAUUAUCUGGCUUAGACUAAUUAUUAUUAAGUCUUGUGUGCUGCGUUUGGGCAACCACUUUGAGCAGAAGAGAACUCUGGACAGUGAAAGGCACAUUUCAAACAUGGUCUCUAGGGUUUAUUUCAGCAGAUUUUUUUGCAUGCUUGACCGACCAAGUCUGCAGUAUGAAAACCCAGUGGCAACACAGAAAGUUUAGCUUUACGCUGGUUUUAAAAAGAUAAAAUAAACCUAAUACUCUAAAAUUUA
This is a long non-coding RNA of Apus apus (common swift), 9129 nucleotides long. RefSeq lists it as uncharacterized. Lineage: Eukaryota; Metazoa; Chordata; Aves; Apodiformes; Apodidae. The transcript has 2 exons. The record is from RefSeq and is a predicted model, not a curated record.